UGCCUACGGGGGGCAGCAGUGGGGAAUAUUGCACAAUGGGGGAAACCCUGAUGCAGCGACGCCGCGUGAGUGAAGAAGUAUUUCGGUAUGUAAAGCUCUAUCAGCAGGAACGAGACAAGACGGUACCUGACUAAGAAGCCCCGGCUAACUACGUGCCAGCAGCCGCGGUAAUACGUAGGGGGCAAGCGUUAUCCGGAUUUACUGGGUGUAAAGGGAGCGUAGACGGCAGUGCAAGUCUGAAGUGAAAGGCAAGGGCUCAACCCUUGGACUGCUUUGGAAACUGUGCUGCUCGAGUGUCGGAGAGG
This 305-nucleotide ribosomal RNA is filed under the name uncultured bacterium. RNAcentral's name for it is "bacterial SSU rRNA". It matches the Rfam family "Bacterial small subunit ribosomal RNA", at positions 335 to 657 of the family's 1533-position model. The record is from RNAcentral.